CGGGGCUUUGGUCAGCCGGCUGCAAGCCCUAGCUGACUCGACCCAGACGCGGGUGGGGACCCGGAACCCGGGACAAAGCGCAAGCCUGAGGGCUCCGAGACCUGCUUGGACUCUCUCGAGCUUUCUUGCUGGCGUGAGCAGCCUGCGAAAUUUGAAACUUUUUGUAGGGAUGUCUGGGUUAGCAAGUGCGUUUCCCCGAAUGGGAUACGUCAGUGUGCAUGGUAAUGUAAGAAAUUUCCGGGGUCUGUGAAAAUAGGGGAAUCGGUGGUGGAGUUUCAGGCUUCUGAAGCCUACGAUGUGCGGGCGGACCUAGUUUCUUGCAGGGGAGCUAAGGGUCAGAUCUUUAUCUGUUGAGGUAAAGGAGAUCUGUGGGUUUUACAAGUAUAAGUAUUAAUACGGGGUUAGGGGGGUCUGCAAUUGCUAGGGAAAGUGGGUGUUUCCCCUUGUACAGGUGUUGAGUGAAGUUUGUGACUAUUACAGAUGUUCUGAAGUUUAAUUAGCCCUUAAGUCCUCUUCUCGCCUACCUAGUUAUAGCAAGGUAGCGAGACGCUUCCCAGAUACCGAUAGAUGGCAGCACAGGACUCUUGCAAAACAGCCUAGACAGCAGAUUUGGGGCUUCUUGAAGGAGCCAACCGGGAAGAGGGUCGGGAUCCAACCUACUCAAGUUCUGAGGUUCUGAAAGUCUCAGAUUCUUUUGGUUCUGUGACUUUCUAUGAGUAUUUAACUUAAACUGCUGGUCUAAGCGUCAAUAGUGUGCCAGGCGCAAAAAAGAAAGAAAAAGGCAUUUCUCUGCCCUUAAGGAAUUUUUUGUGUAGACAGAACGUUAUCUAUAGAUAAAGCCAGAAGGGUUUUAUGUGUGAAAAAAGCAUAGGGUUUGAAAUCACCUGUGUUGCUUUCCGAACUUUGGGUAUUUGCUUGUGGGUAGAUUAAAUUUUUUUUAAUAAACUCUAAAUUUUAGAACAAUUUUAGAUUUACAGAAAAUUUGUGAAGAAAGCAUAGAGUUUCCAUAUACACUCCAAUUCAGUUUCCCCUAUUAUAGGUUCAUUUGUCAUAAUUAAUGAACCAAGCCGAGUGCGGUUGUGCACUACUCUAAUAACAGUGACUCUGGAGGCUGGAGGCAGAAAGAUCACAAGUUCUAUGGAAGCCUGAAUAACUUUAGUGAGCCCCUCAGUAACUGUUAUGGUUUGGAUAUUAGGGGUCUCCCUGGAAGCUCAGUAUUAAUGCAGGAAUGUUCUUAGGUGAAAUGACUGAAUUGUGAGAGCUGUAACCUUUUCAGUUCAUCCCAGUUUGAAUAGAUCAACUGGGUGCUAACUGUAGCCAGAUGGAGGAGGUGGGUCGUUGGUAGCAUGUGGUGGAAGGGUUCAUCUUCCUUGCAGCGCCUUCUCUGCUUCCUGGCCAUCAUGAACAGAGCAGUGCUCCACCAUUAAGCCUUUCUGCCUCAUCUUGGGCCUAGAGCGAGGUAGUCAAGGACAUGAACUAACCCUCUGAAACUAGCUGGGACCUUCUCAGAAACUGAGGCAGUGCAAAGGCCCCCACUUCAACCUGUAAUUCUUUGGAUCAAAUCAGAAAGAUGUCAAACAUAUUGCUCAGAGGUCUUGCUAAAUUGCUGAAGCUGAUCUUGAACUUUAAUCCUCCUGCCUCAUCCUGUUGAGUUGCUAGAAUUACAAACAUGCACCAUCUGGCCCAGCACAAUUUCUUUUUCAUAAUAUUUUCAAAAUUGUAAUUGACACAUAAUCAAUUUCUUUCUUCCUUCCUUCUUCUUUCCUUCCUUCCUUCCUUUCUUUCCUUCUUUCCUUCCUCCUCCCUUCCUUUCUUUCUUUCUAUGUGUGGCACUUGAAAUUGAACCACCCAGGGUCUCAUAUGUGCUAGGCAAAGGCUCUACCAUUGAGCUACAUCCCCAGCCCUUUAUAUUUUAUUUUGAAACAGGGACUUGCUAAAUUGCUCAGGCUGGUCUUGAAUUUUCAAUCCUCCUGCCUCAGCCUCCCUAAUCUCAGGGAUUAUAGACAAGUUGCCACCAUAUCCAGAGAAGAAUAAGAAGAAGGAGAAGAAAUAUACUAGGCAUACAGAAAGUUAUAAAGAAUAGCCGAGGGGCUGGGGUUAUGGCUCAUCAGUAGAGUACUCACCUAGCAUGUGCCAGGCCCUGGGUUUGAUCCUUGGCACCACGUAAAAAUAAAUAAAAUAAAGGUAUCGUGUCUAACUACAACUAAAAAAUAAAUAUUAAAACAAAAAAGAAUAGCCAAGCAUUGUAGUGCCCACCUAUAAUCCUAGUGAUGUGGGAGGCUAUGGCAGAAGGGUCCCAAAUUUGAGGCCAGCUACAGCCAUUUUGCAAAAACAACAACCACAAAAAAUUAUAAAGAAUACUAAAAUUUAAAAAAAACAAGAAAAAAAAAUUUAUCACAGAUUUAUCAAAUCUUAGUUUCUAAAUUUCUUUUCAUUUUUUUGUAGUUAUAGAUGGACAGAAUGCUUUUAUUUUGUUUAUGCAGUGCUAAGGAUCAAGCCCAGUGCCUCACAUAUGCCAGACUAGUGUUCUGCCACUGAGUUAUAGCCCCAGCCCAGAUCUUAGUAUUUUAUCACAUUUGCUUUAAAUUCUUUUUUUUUUUAAGAUAGAGAGAGGAGAGAGAGAGAGAAUUUUUUUAAUAUUUAUUUUUUAGUUUUCAGCGGACACAACAUCUUUGUUUGUAUGUGGUGCUGAGAAUCGAACCUGGGCCGCACGCAUGCCAGGCGUGCACGCUACCGCUUGAGCCACAUCCCCAGCCCAACUUUAAAUUCUCUUUUAUUUAUUUAUUUAUUUAUUUUGAGAUUGAACACUACUCUUUUUUUUUAUUGGUUGUUCAAAACAUUACAAAGCUCUUGACAUAUUUCAUACAUUAGAUUCAAGUGGGUUAUGAACUCCCAUUUUACAGCAGAUGGGGUAGAGAGAGAAGAUGGGAGGAGAGGGGAGGGGGUAUAGUAAAGGAUAGGAAAGGUAGCAGAAUACAACAGUUACUAAUAUGGCAUUAUGUAAAAAUGUGGAUGUGUAACCGAUGUGAUUCUGCAAUUUGUAUUUAAAUUCUCUUUUAAAGAAAUCAGCGAAGCUAGGAGCUUUGGCCUUUGCCUGUAGCCCCAGCAACUCCACAGGCCGAGGCAAGAGGGUGGCAAGUUCCAGGCCAGCCUAAGCAAUUUAGAAAGCCCCUCAUAAACUUAUCGAGACCCUGCUCAAACAAAAAAAUAAAAAGUGUUGGUGAUGUAGCUCAGUGGUAAAGUGCCCCUGGGUUCAAUCCCCAGAACUACAGAAAAAUGGAUAAAUAAAUAAAUAAGAUUAAAGAAAUUAGUAUUUCAGAUCAAGUUAAACCCUUUAAGUACUCCUCCCUAGUCUCUUUCCUAUCAUUUUUCACCUUCUGUCUGAGAAAUAACUACUAUCCCAAAUUGGUAUUUAUUUUGUUUAUGUACUUAAACAAUUUUAUUGCUUAAUAUACACAUAAGUCUAUUGAAACAUAGCCCCCCUUUGAAAUUAAAAUCUCCAAAUUGUUUUAA
Molecule: long non-coding RNA, 3513 nt
Organism: Marmota monax (woodchuck)
Lineage: Eukaryota; Metazoa; Chordata; Mammalia; Rodentia; Sciuridae
Exons: 3
Source: RefSeq, a predicted model, not a curated record